This 5964-nucleotide long non-coding RNA is filed under the name Gossypium barbadense (sea-island cotton). RNAcentral's name for it is "long non-coding RNA (GBAR_LNC000027)". The record is from RNAcentral. Lineage: Eukaryota; Viridiplantae; Streptophyta; Magnoliopsida; Malvales; Malvaceae.
AGCAUCUAUGUACUUUAACACUCUCGAGGUGUAUGGAUCUAGAGAAAGUGAAGAUCGAACGUAACAUAAUUAAAGGUGUAGGAUGCUUCCAUAGCCUUCGAUCUGUAAUCCUAGACGAAUGCAAUCAUUUGAGGGAUGUGAGUUGGGUAACCUUGGCUCCACAUUUGGAAGUACUAAGGAUAACUGAAUGCAAUGGUUUAGAAGAAAUCAUCAGUGAAGAAAAACAUGGUGAAGUCGCUGAGCUAAAAGGAAAUUCAAACUUAUUUUCUAAGCUCGAGAUUUUGUGUCUACAUAAUCUGGCCAAACUAAAGACUAUAUACCAUCAUGCUCUGCCUUUCCCACAGCUGAAGAAAAUCAGAAUAGUAAAAUGCGGAAUGUUGAAGAAGCUCCCACUAAACUCCAAUAGUACAAAAGGACAGAGACUAGUCAUUGAAGGAGAGGAGGGAUGGUGGAAAAAUGUAGAAUGGAAGGAUGAAUCCACUCGAAUUGCUUUUCUCCCUUCUUUCAAACCUUAUGUAAUCUAAGAAAUGUUGGAUAUUAAUUAAGGCUUAAAGCCUUGAUUGUAUCAUAACAUACCUCAUUGUAAGUUCUAUUUUGCCUAUCCUUAGAUUACAUGUAGCUUGGUUCUGUGUUUUACACACAGACUUUUUUUCUUUAGUAUGAAUUUCAAAAUAUAUUAUAUUAAUGAAUUAAAAUUUGAAGUAUAACUUUCAACAUAUCACAUCAUUUUCUUUUAAUUUUAUAACUAAAAAUUUCCAUAAUUAUAGUAAAAUUAAUUUUUUUUCUUAUAAAAGUUGUUUUAGUUUGUAUUUCUGUGUAUAUUUAAAUAUGAGAUAAUUUUUUAUAGGAGAGAAAAAUAUGUUAAGUAUAAAAUUGGAAUUUGGAAUUUUAAAAAAUUAAAAAUUUAAGUUUUAAUAAGUUAAUAAAAUAUAAUUUAUUUUCAUUUAUUAUACAUGUUAUCAAAAAAAAAACUUAUCAUGUAAAAUUAGAUACUAGAUAUUAAGAAUUAUAUUAUAAUAAAAUAACGGUGACAUUAUAUAAAUUUCAAUAUUUUUAUAUUAAAACUCAUUAAUACAAAUUAUUAACAUCUUAAAAUUUUUUAUGAAUAUGAUAUCAUGCAAGUACAAAAAUUAACAUAUUUUUUAAUGAUGUUUCAAUGUUGAAAUAUGAUUAAAUGAUUAGAUUAGGGUGUUUCAAAUUUAAAUAUAUAUAUAUAUAAUAAAAAAAAUUAUUAUUAUACAACUUAUUGUGGCAACAACAAGAGGACAUGAGUUUGAAUAUAAAUAAAUACAAAUUAUUUUUUUAUUCACACAUUUAAGAGUCUAUAAGUAGUAAUAGGAAAUGUAUAAAAAAAUUUAUUAUUUAUAUUGAUUUUUGUUUAAUAAUUUUCUUUAAAAGAAACUAACUUAAGCAUUAUUUUGAUAUCAUAUAUGAGCCUGGCUUAAUCUGUAAAUAUCUUUACUCAAAUCUGAUUACUAAAACUGAGAUUAUGUAUAUGAAUUCUCUAUAAUUAUAGGCUUAUAAACAAGUUAUUGCAAUUAAUACUCAAAUGGCAGUCUUUGAAUUUAAUAAGUUACAGCAAACUGAUUAGUUAAAUGUUUGAUGAGUAUAAUUAUUAGACAUCUCCUUCUCCUACUUCCUUUGCAUUUUGAAUUUAGCCCCUCUUGUAACACUAAAAUAACAUUAACAAGUAAAGAUUGUGUACAGAGGUAAGCAUACUAUGCCCAAUUUCAACUUGAUUUUGUAAUAUUUCCAUCAAAUAAUUUAUGCAUCUUUAUCAUAGCGUCAUAAUUAAAAGUGUGUGUCUACUUCUGCUGAUUCUCUUGUGUGGUGUGCUGAUAAUUUUGGGAAAUACUCGGUACUAAGUGGGUAUAAGCUGAUGAAAAAGUGAAAUCUUGUUUGUGUAUUAUUCUUUAUAUGCAAAAGAUCAUCUCAUUGAAAAAGAUGCAUUAAUACAUUGUAGGGAAUCAGUAAAUCAUGAGAAAAAUUAACACUGUAAUUUUUGGGUACUAAAAUCAUGAGAAAAAAUCGAAUACUAAAUGAUAUAUUAAAUCUUUAAAUAAAUAUUUACUUUAAAAUUUUAGAAACAAAAUUUUUUAAUUAAAUAAAAUAUAAAACCACUUAAAUUUAAUACAAUAUAUAAUUAUUUUUAUUAUUUUAAAUACUUUUUUAUAUAGUUUUUUUAAUUUAAAACAGUUUUGGAAAAAACUAUUUUUUUUGAAAACAUAUUUAUAAAUAUAAAUCUUUUUAAAAGAUUUAAAAAUAUAGUAUUUUAAUUAUAAUUGGUAAUAAUUUUAAAUCUUCGUACAUUUUUUAAUCAACAAAUUGUGAUAUAUUUUUAUCAUAUUUUUUAAUCAAAAAUUAUGCCCAUUUAUUUUAAAUUUUAAAUUAAUAAUUUAACUAUGUUCCAAAUAAUGUGUUGAAUUAAAAUAUAAAUAUUAAAGUUGAGUGGCACUCCACAAUAUUCACUACAUUUACUUACCACAACCUCAAUUAUUGCCCAUGUUGGAAGAGUACAGCAAUUGUCCCUGAAAACUAUCUGACCAAAAUUUUCAUCCCCACAAUUAGUUAUGGUUUAAUCAUAUUAUAUCAUAUUGUAACAUAAAGCUCAUGAGUGAAAAUCCUCAUAUCUUUUUUAUUUUGUCUAUAGUGCUCAACUUACCUCCUCUGCAUUUUGAAUCUAGACACCUGCUUUGAAGGUUGAGAACUAGAUGACUGCAGAGGGCAUUAAUUUUGCAAUAAUUUGGUGGGUAUACUACUUAAUAACUACAUACUCACAAAGAUGUGUAAGCACAAUUUUUUAUAUGGGUUCCAUGUCUUUAAUUGGAUUAUGAUAACCCCUGAAACAAUUUCUGAAUUCUUCCAUUGGCAUAUAUGGUCAUGAAUUCAGUUACCUUGAUCUUCCACUGUUUUCUGUUUUUUGCUGAUGUUUGUUUAAGUGGUAAUGAUAGUGCUUGUGAAUAUCUCAUACAUGAAUGCUGUGGGAAGCUAAUGCAGGGCAAAGCAAGUUGUGAGUUUCUACCCAACAUGCUCAUCUUAGUCUUUCUUUUCUGGUGGGAUCUUAAUAAUUGAGGUUCCUUUAUCUUUGUUGAAGUGGAAGCCUUUAAAGAAAGAGGUAGCUCCCAACAUGCCUGAUUUUUAUAUUAAACAAACUUUACACCUACUAUGAUUAAGUAAAAUAUGUUGUAUUAAUGUUGCUCAAGUUGUAAAAUAGAAUAAGAAAUUGCAUAUGGUAUCCACUGCACACAAAAUAUACCUUACAAUGGACCCAUUGUGUCAAAACCAAAUAAAGUGGGAUAAAAGACAGUUGUGUGCAAUACAAGUCUUCCCACCAAGUCAAUGAUUUUACACACUUUACUGUAGUUAUCAUCAUAUUCACUAUUUUUUUUUGGUAUCAAAAUGCAUGUGAACUUCCAACAGUUUGUCUUUGUUUUUCUCCCCUUUGCAGUCUAAACUUUCAUAGAACUCUAUAAGCAUCUUUGAUUUAUUCCUUGCUUCUAUUUCCAGAAAUUGUUGAACUCACUCUUCUAUAAUCAAAACCAGGUAUGGGUAAUAUCUUCUCAAUCUCACUUUCACUCGAUCCCAUCAUUACCCGUUGCUGGGAUUGUGCUACUGGACAGGCAAGUUAUAUAUGCAACCUCGAAGAUAACCUCCAUGCUUUACAAGCUGAAAUAGCAGGACUGAAGGAGCUCAGGAGUGAUCUGAUGAGCAGGGUCAGAAUUGCUGAAGAUGAGCAGCAGCUUAAGCGGCUAAACCAAGUUGAGGGUUGGCUUUCGAGGGCUGAAACUCUGAUAAACGAUGCUGAUCAACUGAUUUUCAAAGUCCUCAGCAUGUUGAAAAUCUAUGUAUGGAAGGUUGUUGCUCCACUCAUCCUAGUUCCAGCAUCAAGUUCGGGAAGCAAAUUGCCAAAAAACUCCAAGAGGUGAAAGACCAGAAGGAGAAUGGAGAUUUCAGUGAUUUAGCCAGCAAGCCACCACUUCCUUCAGCAACUGAAAGACCUAGUGAACCAACUGUGGGUUUAGAGUCCAAUUUCAACAAGGUUUGGAGCUGUCUUCAAAAGGAACAAGUGGGAGUUAGUGGCAUAUAUGGCUUAGGAGGGGUUGGCAAGACAACCCUCCUAAACCAAAUCAAUAACAAAUUCCAUGAUACUACCCAUGAUUACCAUGUCAUUUGGGCAGUUGCAUCACAAGAUCGGCCAAUUGAGAGAGUCCAGGAUCAAAUUGCCGAAAGAAUAGGCCUUUCUAAUGAAGGUUGGAAAUCUAAGAGCCUUGAUGAGAAAGCUGAAGACAUCUUCAAGGUAUUAUGUAAAAAGAAGUUUGCAUUAUUGUUGGAUAAUAUAUGGGAAUGGUUUGAUCUCACAAGAGCUGGGCUACCUCUUCCAACACAAGAAAAUGGCUCUAAAGUCAUUUUCACAACUCGUCGACUUGACGUGUGCUGUCAAAUGCAACCGAACAUGGAUAAUAAUAUCAGAGUGGAAUGUUUACCACCAGGAGAAGCUUUCAAACUGUUCGAGGAGAAGGUUGGAUCAGAAACCCUUCGAAUGUAUCCAGAUAUUUGCAAGUUAGCUGAAGCGGUUGUUGAAGAGUGUGCAGGGCUACCUCUCGCUCUCAUUACAAUUGGGCGAGCCAUGGCAUCCAAGAAGAGCCCUCGAGAAUGGGAAUAUGCUAUUGAAGUUUUAAGGCAAUCAGCAGCCUCUGUGUUGCUAGGGGUAGGGAAAGAGAUGUAUCCCAAGUUAAAAUUCAGUUAUGACUGUUUACCUGAUGAAAGGUUCAGAUCUUGUUUCUUGUAUUGUUCUUUGUAUUCAGAAGAUCAUCACAUCGUAAAAGACGAACUAGUAGAUUGUUGGAUCGGGGAAGGACUUUUGGACGAGCAUGCCACUUUGAGCAGUGCCAGAAACCAGGGACAUUUCAUUAUAGGUUCUCUUAUUGACGCAUGCUUAUUGGAAAAAGGACAUUAUAAUUAUGGUGUUAAGAUGCACGAUGUGAUUCGUGACAUGACUUUGUGGAUUGCUGGUGAAUCUGAGAAGGAGAAGUUUUUUGUAAAAUCAGGUGUUCAGUUAAAGAAACAACCGAAUGCUAAAAAGUGGGAAGAGGUAACAAGAAUGUCGCUGAUGGAUAAUCAAAUUGAAAAUCUAACUAAGAUAUUGGAAUGUCCCAAUCUCCAAACUUUGUUUCUUGGCAGGAAUGACUUGAAGGUAAUCAUGGAUGAUUUCUUUAAUUCUUUGCCGAUGCUAAGGGUUCUAGACUUGUCUUACAAUAAGCAUUUGAAAGAAUUGCCGGUUGGAAUUGGAAAGUUGGUUUCACUAGAACAUCUCAAUUUGUUAGGGACAAGAAUAAGAAAAGUUGCCAGUCGAAUUGAAGGCCCUAGCAAAGCUGAAAUAUUUGAAUCUGGAGUGGACAGGUGAUCUAAAAAUGAUCCCACACCAAUUGAUAUCCAGUUUUUCCAAGUUGCAAGUACUGAAAAUGGUGAGAUUUGGCUAUGGAUGUUUAUUGGUUUUGGAGGAAAUGGAGCAUUUAAAAUAUUUGAAUAUGUGGAGUCUUACUUUUAGAAGCGCUUCGGAGUUGGAAAAAGCUUCGAGGUUCAACUUCUUUAGCUGUGCCAUUGAACGUGUAUUCCUUAAAGAUUUCAGAGAUUCAAGAUCAUUGACUAUUAUGGCUUUAGCAAAUCUGCAGCAUCUAUCUACUUUAGCAUUCUUGAGGUGUAUGGAUUUAGCGAAAGUGAAGAUCGAACGGAACAUAAUUAAAGGUGCAGGAUGCUUCCAUAGCCUUCGAUCUGUAAUCCUAGAGGAAUGCAAUCGUUGGAGGGAUGUGAGUUGGGUAACUUUUGCUCCACAUUUGGAAGUACUAAGGAUAGCUGCAUGCAAUGGUUUAGAAGAAAUCUUCAGUGAAGAAAAACUUGAAGUCGUUGAGCUAAAAGGAAAUUCAAACUUGUUUUCUAAGCUAGAGAUUUUGAAUCUAUAUCAUU